GGUCCUCUCUGGCUGCGUCUGAGGGCCUUAGCUCUGGCCAGGGGCGCUGCAACGGGCUCAGCCUUCUAGGGGUGGCGGGUGAAGGCCUACACCUGCCCCAGGACGGCCAGGUCCACCAGCACCUGCAACAGACGGAGAACUGAAGGAGCAUCUUGAAGCUGUGGCUGUCUUGAAGGUGUCGCCGCUUGUCCUCACGAGCACCAUUUUGAUUCUCGUGCCCUGUGUGCAUGGGUGGCCAGCGUUGCUGGUAGGGCUCCUGCACGCUCAGAGUGGCCUUGGCCAGGAAGUCCAGGGUUUCCGCAGGCAGAGUGUAUGAACAAGGUACUGAGAAGAUCACAUACUGCAUGUCCUCCUAAAACCUGGUCCUGGCAUAACCUUCUAAGCUGUUUUAUUCAGAUUACAAUAAAUCAUGCCAUUCACACAAGUUCUUACAGGGAUUUAAUUGCAUCUUUGAAAGGUUUGGCAGAUACAUCAAGCCAGUUCAUUAAUGCACAGAUGAUUCCUUCACAUUAAGAAAGACACGUUGGAGCACCAUAAAUGUCAAGGCAGUUAUUACACACAAAAAGCAUAAAAUGGCAACCAUCAAAAGAUUCAUAGCCAAAAGGGACUUGCCUUAUCUCAGUUGAGGCUUUGGACUUGGAACUUUGAGAAUAACCAGCAAUGUUCCAGAAAUUAUCUGCUCUCUCGCCCUGGUCUCAACUUGCAGAAGAUGGGAAGCAGAGCUCCCAGCCUGCCCAAGAUGAACAUGUGGUAUAGACAAGAAAUACACCUCUGUUCUUUUAAGCUUCUGAGAUUUUGUAUAUGUUUGUUUCUUACCAAACCACAUAUCCAAAGUUACUAAUUGAUGUAAUUUGUAUUUGGAAAGAAACUCAUUUACAACUAUUUUUAUUCUAAAUGAUUUCUAAAAUGUCCACUUUAUUAAUUUUGAUAUAUCCAACAUAUAAUCUAGAUACCAAGUUUGAAUCAUUUUUAUUUUGUCAAAUAACACAUAUAUUUUAUAAAUUGCAUACAAAAA
Molecule: long non-coding RNA, 1015 nt
Filed under: Homo sapiens (human)
Lineage: Eukaryota; Metazoa; Chordata; Mammalia; Primates; Hominidae
Description: novel transcript
Source: RNAcentral